This 847-nucleotide ribosomal RNA is filed under the name Vibrio harveyi. RNAcentral's name for it is "bacterial SSU rRNA". It matches the Rfam family "Bacterial small subunit ribosomal RNA", at positions 66 to 902 of the family's 1533-position model. Lineage: Bacteria; Pseudomonadati; Pseudomonadota; Gammaproteobacteria; Vibrionales; Vibrionaceae. The record is from RNAcentral.
GUUAUCUGAACCUUCGGGGGACGAUAACGGCGUCGAGCGGCGGACGGGUGAGUAAUGCCUAGGAAAUUGCCCUGGUGUGGGGGAUAACCAUUGGAAACGAUGGCUAAUACCGCAUAAUACCUUCGGGUCAAAGAGGGGGACCUUCGGGCCUCUCGCGUCAGGAUAUGCCUAGGUGGGAUUAGCUAGUUGGUGAGGUAAUGGCUCACCAAGGCGACGAUCCCUAGCUGGUCUGAGAGGAUGAUCAGCCACACUGGAACUGAGACACGGUCCAGACUCCUACGGGAGGCAGCAGUGGGGAAUAUUGCACAAUGGGCGCAAGCCUGAUGCAGCCAUGCCGCGUGUGUGAAGAAGGCCUUCGGGUUGUAAAGCACUUUCAGUCGUGAGGAAGGUAGUGUAGUUAAUAGCUGCAUUAUUUGACGUUAGCGACAGAAGAAGCACCGGCUAACUCCGUGCCAGCAGCCGCGGUAAUACGGAGGGUGCGAGCGUUAAUCGGAAUUACUGGGCGUAAAGCGCAUGCAGGUGGUUUGUUAAGUCAGAUGUGAAAGCCCGGGGCUCAACCUCGGAAUAGCAUUUGAAACUGGCAGACUAGAGUACUGUAGAGGGGGGUAGAAUUUCAGGUGUAGCGGUGAAAUGCGUAGAGAUCUGAAGGAAUACCGGUGGCGAAGGCGGCCCCCUGGACAGAUACUGACACUCAGAUGCGAAAGCGUGGGGAGCAAACAGGAUUAGAUACCCUGGUAGUCCACGCCGUAAACGAUGUCUACUUGGAGGUUGUGGCCUUGAGCCGUGGCUUUCGGAGCUAACGCGUUAAGUAGACCGCCUGGGGAGUACGGUCGCAAGAUUAAAACUC